Molecule: non-coding RNA, 241 nt
Organism: Dorea longicatena CAG:42
Lineage: Bacteria; Bacillati; Bacillota; Clostridia; Lachnospirales; Lachnospiraceae
Source: Rfam
CGAAAUUCGUUGAUGAGAACAAUGCCGUAUCUAUCGUUAUUUCACAGAGAGCCUGCGGUUGGUGGAAGCAGGUAAUAAGCAGAUAAGGAUAUCCUCUCUAAGAAGCGGGUUGAAAGCAAUAUCAAAGUAAACUUCGCCGGUAUCCCCCGUUACAGGGAGCAUGUAUGAUGGUACGUGAAUGAGAGCUGUAGAAAGAUUCUACAGAAUUAGGGUGGUAACGCGGAUAGAUUUCGUCCCUUUU